Long non-coding RNA from Sphaeramia orbicularis (orbiculate cardinalfish), 156 nucleotides. RefSeq lists it as uncharacterized. Lineage: Eukaryota; Metazoa; Chordata; Actinopteri; Kurtiformes; Apogonidae. The record is from RefSeq and is a predicted model, not a curated record. The transcript has 3 exons.
UGGGCGAUAAAACGAUAACGGUAUAUAUUGCGAAAUAACUUUUCCUCAAUAGAAAUAUGAGACAUGCUCGACACAAUUUCACUAGAAUUCAUUCGUUCAUGUUUUGACAGAUGUAAGAACAGCCAGUCAUAAUUAAGUAGCUCCGCACUGAACCAG